AGAGUUUGAUCCUGGCUCAGGAUGAACGCUGGCGGCGUGCCUAAUACAUGCAAGUCGAGCGAACGGACGAGAAGCUUGCUUCUCUGAUGUUAGCGGCGGACGGGUGAGUAACACGUGGAUAACCUACCUAUAAGACUGGGAUAACUUCGGGAAACCGGAGCUAAUACCGGAUAAUAUUUUGAACCGCAUGGUUCAAAAGUGAAAGACGGUCUUGCUGUCACUUAUAGAUGGAUCCGCGCUGCAUUAGCUAGUUGGUAAGGUAACGGCUUACCAAGGCAACGAUGCAUAGCCGACCUGAGAGGGUGAUCGGCCACACUGGAACUGAGACACGGUCCAGACUCCUACGGGAGGCAGCAGUAGGGAAUCUUCCGCAAUGGGCGAAAGCCUGACGGAGCAACGCCGCGUGAGUGAUGAAGGUCUUCGGAUCGUAAAACUCUGUUAUUAGGGAAGAACAUAUGUGUAAGUAACUGUGCACAUCUUGACGGUACCUAAUCAGAAAGCCACGGCUAACUACGUGCCAGCAGCCGCGGUAAUACGUAGGUGGCAAGCGUUAUCCGGAAUUAUUGGGCGUAAAGCGCGCGUAGGCGGUUUUUUAAGUCUGAUGUGAAAGCCCACGGCUCAACCGUGGAGGGUCAUUGGAAACUGGAAAACUUGAGUGCAGAAGAGGAAAGUGGAAUUCCAUGUGUAGCGGUGAAAUGCGCAGAGAUAUGGAGGAACACCAGUGGCGAAGGCGACUUUCUGGUCUGUAACUGACGCUGAUGUGCGAAAGCGUGGGGAUCAAACAGGAUUAGAUACCCUGGUAGUCCACG
Molecule: ribosomal RNA, 809 nt
Filed under: Staphylococcus aureus W57390
Lineage: Bacteria; Bacillati; Bacillota; Bacilli; Caryophanales; Staphylococcaceae
Description: bacterial SSU rRNA
Rfam family: Bacterial small subunit ribosomal RNA
Source: RNAcentral